GAUGAAGAACGCAGCGAAAUGCGAUACGUAAUGUGAAUUGCAAAUUCAGUGAAUCAUCGAGUCUUUGAACGCAAAUUGCGCCCCCUGGUAUUCCGGGGGGCAUGCCUGUCCGAGCGUCAUUGCUGCCCUCAAGCACGGCUUGUGUGUUGGGCCCCGUCCUCCGAUCCCGGGGGACGGGCCCGAAAGGCAGCGGCGGCACCGCGUCCGGUCCUCGAGCGUAUGGGGCUUUGUCACCCACUCUGUAGGCCCGGCCGGCGCUUGCCGAUCAACCCAAAUUUUUAUCCAGGUUGACCUCGGAUCAGGUAGGGAUACCCGCUGAACUUAAGCAUAUCAAUAAGCGGAGGA
Molecule: unclassified non-coding RNA, 345 nt
Filed under: soil metagenome
Description: partial contains 5.8S ribosomal RNA, internal transcribed spacer 2, and large subunit ribosomal RNA
Rfam family: 5.8S ribosomal RNA (bases 1-119)
Source: RNAcentral